This 27-nucleotide non-coding RNA is filed under the name Mus musculus (house mouse). Lineage: Eukaryota; Metazoa; Chordata; Mammalia; Rodentia; Muridae. The record is from RNAcentral.
UUCCUUGGACCAAGCACUAAUGCAAUU